AGGAUAAUAGUUAAGAAGCUGCUAACUAUCUUAAAGACAUUAAUAUGUCAAUUCCUU
This 57-nucleotide transfer RNA is filed under the name Nilaparvata lugens (brown planthopper). RNAcentral describes it as "tRNA-Ser". Lineage: Eukaryota; Metazoa; Arthropoda; Insecta; Hemiptera; Delphacidae. The record is from RNAcentral.